Molecule: non-coding RNA, 74 nt
Organism: Ameiurus melas (black bullhead)
Lineage: Eukaryota; Metazoa; Chordata; Actinopteri; Siluriformes; Ictaluridae
Source: the annotation of a GenBank genome assembly
GAUACUGUGGCUUAAUUGGUUAAACUGCCUGCCUUGUAAACAGGAGAUCCUGUGUUCAAAUCCCAGCAGUGCCU